UACAGGGGGAUAACAGUUAGAAAUGACUGCUAAUACCGCAUACGAUCCAAUCUUGGCAUCGAGACUGGAUGAAAGGUGGCCUCUAUUUAUAAGCUAUCACUGAAGGAGGGGAUUGCGUCUGAUUAGCUAGUUGGAGGGGUAACGGCCCACCAAGGCGAUGAUCAGUAGCCGGUCUGAGAGGAUGAACGGCCACAUUGGGACUGAGACACGGCCCAG
Molecule: ribosomal RNA, 216 nt
Filed under: uncultured bacterium
Lineage: Bacteria
Description: partial 16S ribosomal RNA
Rfam family: Bacterial small subunit ribosomal RNA
Source: RNAcentral